CAAAGAGCACUGAAGUGAAUGUUGCUCCUGGGCUGGCCGAGCAGGAGGUGGUGGGGUCUGAGCUGCAGCAGAGGCAAGAAUUAACAGGAGAGAUCACCGGAAUAAAGAGCCUUUUGUGGAUUCUGGUCCCUUCAGCAGCUGUCAGGAGAAGCUGAUGCUCGUCACUGGAACCAGUCAUUGCAGGAACAAGAACACAGGUGGAUGUAACCCUCUUCCGUCCCAGCAAGAUAAACAUUGGUAUCCUGAGAGAAAGAACAUGUGUCGCCACUUUGCACUCUUGAGAACGUCUGCAAUCCAGGAGAGCAAACACAUGGAUUCUUCACAUUCUCUUGGACAAAACAUUCUGCUGGGUAAACAGGAGAAUCACAACAUCUAAAUUCUGGACGUGGGAGAUACUGAAGAGUCAAAUCUUGUGGCUUUGACCAACACACAGGGGAAAGCUUCUUUGGGGUGUGGCCCAAAGCAACUUUUUCGCCACAGAGGAUGGUGAUGUGGAUGCAUGCAAUGGUGGAAGAAAUGUAAAUCUGGAAGAGGAGUACCUCUGUCAGAAGAUGCAGGUGUAGGCUGAUGGUGCUCUUCAGCUAGCUGGGUCCAGGGUCUGCAUGGCUUUAGCUACGAAGCGAUCGUUACCAGGCCUGGCUUUGCAGAUGUCAACAUAGAGCCUGUUCCGCUCCCUGGGGAAAGGACAAAGGGACAUUCUGGAAGACAGCUACAUUCUGCUUCUCAGUGUUCCGAACCACAAGCUCGACAGCAGAAAAUGCCAUAAAGGUUGCUUUUGGACUCUAAUAAUUUCAGAGUGAGCUAAGCUCUUGGGUCCAGAGAAGGACAGUGAAGCUGCCAAAGGAUCUAGAGCAAAAGUCUUGUGAGGAGCACCUGAGUGAACAGGGGUUGUUCAGCCUGGAGAAGAAGAGGCUGAAGGGAGACCUUCUGGCUCUCUGCAACCCCCUGAAAGGAGGUUGGGGUUGGUUUCCUCUCCCAAGGAACAAGCAACAGAACAAGAGGAAAUGGCCUUAAAUUGCCCCAGGAGACAUUUAGGUUGGACAUGCGGAAAAAUCUCUUCCCCUUGAGGGCUGUCAGGCUCUGACCCAGGCCGUAUAGGGCAGUGGUGGAGUUUAUCUCUGGCAGAGAUGCAGUGCCAUGGAGAUGCAGUGCUGAGGGACAUGGUUUAGCAGCACACUUGAUAGAGUUAUAUCAGGGUUGGAUUCACUGAUCUUAAAAGUCUUUUCCAAUCAAACCCAUUCUAUGGCAGUUUUAUUUCUUCACAUCUCUUUAGCUUUACACAUUUACUUUCCUCCUCUCUCACUUCUUUUCUGGCCACUUUAAACCAGUGCAGUAACUCAUUAAAACCUUUUAGCAACAGUGUCAAUAGCUUCUCACCUGCAGGACACUUCUGCUAUCCACUGCUCUGACAUUGGUGGUCAUGGAUUGUCUUCUGCAGGUUGGUGUUGGGGUUGUGAUGCUCACUCGUCUUUGGCUACCACAACUUGUUGCUGAUUCUUGCCUUACUCUGAAAACACAACAGAAUUUCUAAUUUUGUCAACAAAAUACAAGCAAUCACUGCAA
Long non-coding RNA from Pogoniulus pusillus (Red-fronted tinkerbird), 1563 nucleotides. RefSeq lists it as uncharacterized. Lineage: Eukaryota; Metazoa; Chordata; Aves; Piciformes; Lybiidae. The transcript is spliced from 7 exons. The record is from RefSeq and is a predicted model, not a curated record.